This 396-nucleotide ribosomal RNA is filed under the name uncultured bacterium. RNAcentral describes it as "partial 16S ribosomal RNA". It matches the Rfam family "Bacterial small subunit ribosomal RNA", at positions 523 to 918 of the family's 1533-position model. The record is from RNAcentral.
AUACAGAGGGUGCGAGCGUUAAUCGGAUUUACUGGGCGUAAAGCGCGCGUAGGUGGCUAAUUAAGUCAAAUGUGAAAUCCCCGAGCUUAACUUGGGAAUUGCAUUCGAUACUGGUUGGCUAGAGUAUGGGAGAGGAUGGUAGAAUUCCAGGUGUAGCGGUGAAAUGCGUAGAGAUCUGGAGGAAUACCGAUGGCGAAGGCAGCCAUCUGGCCUAAUACUGACACUGAGGUGCGAAAGCAUGGGGAGCAAACAGGAUUAGAUACCCUGGUAGUCCAUGCCGUAAACGAUGUCUACUAGCCGUUGGGGGAUUUGAUCCUUUAGUGGCGCAGCUAACGCGAUAGGUAGACCGCCUGGGGAGUACGGUCGCAAGACUAAAACUCAAAUGAAUUGACGGGG